This 2255-nucleotide long non-coding RNA is filed under the name Canis lupus familiaris (dog). RNAcentral's name for it is "lncRNA (ENSCAFG00845016629.1)". Lineage: Eukaryota; Metazoa; Chordata; Mammalia; Carnivora; Canidae. The record is from RNAcentral.
AUUCUGUAGAAUAACGCAGCAACAUGGAAAAAACAAUUCCUAUAUUAAAAGUAUAUUUUGGCCUUUAUUCUCAGUCCCUUUUAAAACUUUUAAAAAGCAUUUUUGCUUGAAUGGCUCUUUUGUAAUUGUCCAUUACCUAAAGAGUCAAAAAAAGAAAGAUUGCAGUCUUGGGAAUAUAUAAAGAAGGAAUUAAAUUUGUAUAAUUAGAAAGCAUAUUGUAGCUUUCCCAUCAGAAUAGAUCAAAACUCUCAUUUUCCUGUCAUUUUUGCCAAGCCAGCACACAGUUACUAUGCCUACCUAUUGUCACCAGACUAAAGCUUGUGCUAUUAUCUACAUCAUCAAGGAGAAGUCAAGUGCUGUUGUUGAUGAAGCAUGCCAUUCCUCGCCCUUUUAUGCUUUAUGCUCACAGUGACAUAUUUAACUCAGAUACCACAGGUAUGUUUGCCAAGAAGCCCUCUAGCAACGAUAAUGUUAGGUUAAGGUAAUUGAAUAGAAAGACUAGGAGCAGUCAGUCAUUUAGCAAACUCUUAGGUACAUUUACCUAAAAGAAUAGUCAAUCCAAAAGGUAGAUGCAACAAAUAUAGCACAUUCACAUAUAUGCUAGGACAAAUAAUAAAUAGGAAUGCUUGGUGACAACAUAUGGAUCACUAUUAUGAUACUUUAGAGUUCUAUAAAAGUUGUUGGUAUGUUACAGUUAAAGUCCACAUUGCGCUAUUUCUCCAGUGAAGAAAUUAUAAAUGCCAGGUAUGAUAAAACACUGCAUUAAGCAAUAAAGGGCAGCUCAAAAUGUUCAAACUUGAAAAUAAACCCUGCAAAGAAAGGUGAGCUAUCAAGUAGUCUUCAUUUUCCUGAAGAUUUUGUAUAACACAAGUAUUUCAAGAAAACCAACCCACGAAAUAAGUAAAAACUCUACCAGUGGAAAACGAGAGGUAGAGAAGAGGCUUAGUUGAGAAAAGCAACUGAGAUUGGUUGAAAAAGAUAUGACAGAGUAAUAGAAUGCAUAAAGCCUCCUCAUUUGCCUUGUGCCCCCAUAAACAUAGUCAUUUCCAAAACACCUCGUCGGCAUUCCAUCCAACAUUGACACCUCUGAUCGACAUGCCUUUCUGGUUUACGGAUGCUUUGUUGUCUACUUUUUCUCCUUGAGAUCCAACCUUGGAGUAUCCAACCUUAAGAGCAGGUACUGAGCCUAAUUUUCUUUCAGACAACAAAACCUGACUAAAUUAUUAAACUUUUCUGGGCCCACAUCAAAAUAUCUCUGAGCUAGAUGAGUCCCUCAUCUCUAUAGAUUCUGAUAUGAAUGCAUGUUUGAGCUUUGGUCUAAACUGCUAAUGAGAGGGAAAGCACUACUGAAAACAAGGCAAUGCUUUUUAAAACCUUCUAUUUCCUGUAGUUCAAGCCAUAUGUCCUUCCAAUUAAUGGACUUAAGAAAAUAAAUUCUUUCCCUUGAUAUCUAAUUCACAGGAAAGCCACUUGAACCUCUAUAUGUAUUGUGUACAUGAGACGUUUUCUCUAGAAUUUAUCAGUGCAGAACCAGCUCGCUGUGACUAGCUCAUUCUUCUCUAUAUAUAUAAAGAAGUGUUCAGGAAUAAUAAUAGGAAUCAUUACAGUUAUGAUGACCAAACACCUCCGUGUUCCAGGUAUUGUACUCUGUAAUCGUUUUUACCUCAAUGGGAUUUUCUUAUUUUUUCCAUGUAAGUCAGUUAGUGAUUAUACACAAUUUCCACUAAUCCAUCCCUCACAGGUUUUGGCUUCUGAUCCUCACACAAUUGGAUUUCUUUCUCUUCCUAUGUAUUAUUAUUCUCCCUUAUGAAUGAAUGACAAAGGUAGUCUAUUGCAGGGAAGAUUUUGCUGAUGCCUGGUGGUUCCUUUUUUCACUACAUACUCUCACAUCUCUUCUCUUUAAUUUUCUAGUGAGUGUCUUCUGAUUAAGUUAUUGUUUGUAAUGACUCAGCUAGUGCCACAGAGGUGAGCUUUCAUCUUUAUUUGGGAAGAAACAGGAGGGAGGCAAUGUGUUUUGCUACAUCAGUUUGUGGUACUGUGCUUCCAAUUCCAGACAGAAAACCAACUGGCCUCAGAGGGUAAGCAGACCAAUUCCUCUAAACUUCUUCUGGGAAAAAAUAGAAACUUUAGGAGUACACACUGCCUUUUCUUGUUUCCUACAUUUUUUCACUGCUCCCAGCUGUCCCUAGAAACAUUUCUUGGGGUUUGUAAAUUAGAAACUCAUUUUUCCUUUCCUGUGUAGAGAAAAAAAAAAA